This 467-nucleotide ribosomal RNA is filed under the name uncultured bacterium. RNAcentral's name for it is "partial 16S ribosomal RNA". It matches the Rfam family "Bacterial small subunit ribosomal RNA", at positions 28 to 506 of the family's 1533-position model. The record is from RNAcentral.
GACGAACGCUGGCGGCGUGCUUAACACAUGCAAGUCGAACGGAAAGGCCCUGCUUUUGUGGGGUGCUCGAGUGGCGAACGGGUGAGUAACACGUGAGUAACCUGCCCUUGACUUUGGGAUAACUUCAGGAAACUGGGGCUAAUACCGGAUAGGAGCUCCUGCUGCAUGGUGGGGGUUGGAAAGUUUCGGCGGUUGGGGAUGGACUCGCGGCUUAUCAGCUUGUUGGUGGGGUAGUGGCUUACCAAGGCUUUGACGGGUAGCCGGCCUGAGAGGGUGACCGGCCACAUUGGGACUGAGAUACGGCCCAGACGCCUACGGGAGGAAGCAGUGGGAAAUAUUGCACAAUGGGCGGAAGCCUGAUGCAGCAACGCCGCGUGCGGGAUGACGGCCUUCGGGUUGUAAACCGCUUUCGCCUGUGACGAAGCGUGAGUGACGGUAAUGGGUAAAGAAGCACCGGCUAACUACGU